GGCUCUGUGGCGCAAUGGAUAGCGCAUUGGACUUCUAAUUCAAAGGUUGUGGGUUCGAAUCCCACCAGAGUCA
Molecule: non-coding RNA, 73 nt
Organism: Rhineura floridana
Lineage: Eukaryota; Metazoa; Chordata; Lepidosauria; Squamata; Rhineuridae
Source: the annotation of a RefSeq genome assembly